GGAAGUUGAACAUUUUGUGUGACGCCCGAUGCUGGGUUGUCGUAGCAGCUUUCUCUGCAAAGGAAUGUCGCUGCUAUAUCACUGUUGGGAUGGAAGUUUGACAGAUGUCUUGAGAAAAAGAUGCUGGGAUUGCAGUUUCUUAUCAUAUUAAAUAGUCAUGAUGGUCAAAACAACAUGGUAGUUACUUCUACCGCCGACUGGUGAGCAAGAACAUCUGGUCAGGUUUAAAAGAACAGCUGUUAAAUUCAGAGUCAAUAUUUAGUCAUUUGGCAUCGUAUUUGCAUGUAAGAAUGGACACUUAACUUCACCAGCCAUCAGGACACACUGUCACGCUUUUCCUCCAGUUGUUGUGUGACGAGUUAUCAGUGGAGGUCCACUGCACUACCUCUUGUUUCUAUACAAGCUUUGUGAAGCCUCAUCAAGAUGUUUUCAGCCCUGAAGAAGCUGGUGAGCUCUGAGCCAGGGCAGCUCAGAGAGAAGAACAUUCCAGCUGGCUUGCAGUCGAUGAACCAAAGUUUGCAGAGACGUUUUGCCAAAGGGGUUCAGUAUAAUAUGAAAAUAGUCAUCAGGGGAGACAGAAACACUGGUAAGAGUACCUUAUGGCAUCGACUGCAGGGAAAAAAAUUUGCGGAGGAGUAUAUACCCACUCAGGAGAUCCAGGCCACAAGUAUCCAUUGGAAUUACAAAACUACUGAUGAUGUGGUCAAGGUAGAGGUUUGGGACGUAGUAGACAAAGGCCAAAAGUAUCUUCUUCCUGAAGGUGUAGGCAAAGGCAAAAGGCGUGGAGACAAUUUGAAACUGGAGAAUGAGCCUCAAGAGUCAGAUGAGGUGGCCCUGGACGCAGAGUUCCUGGAUGUGUACAAGAACUGCAAUGGAGUCAUUAUGGUGUUUGACAUUACCAAGCAGUGGACAUUUAACUACAUCCUGAGGGAACUGCCCAAAGUACCUACCCAUGUGCCAGUGUGUGUGUUGGGAAACUACAGGGACAUGGGCGAGCAUCGCGUCAUCCUCCCUGAUGAUAUUAGGGACCUGAUUGCUGGACUGAACAGGCCAAUGGGAUCAUCUUACAUCCACUAUGCAGAGUCCUCCAUGAAGAAUGGGUUUGGCUUGAAAUAUCUGCACAGAUUUUUCAACAUCCCCUUCCUGCAGCUCCAGAGAGAGACCCUUCUGAGGCAGCUGGAGACCAACCAGUUGGAUAUGGAUGCCACCUUGGAGGAGCUCUCUGUCCAGCAGGAGACUGAAGAUCAAAACUAUGAGAUUUUCCUGGAGAACUUGGAGUCUCGCUGUAAAGGCUAUGGCUCUCCUGGUCCAGCCAACGGUCAGAGUCCUUCGUCGGGCUCACAGUCUCCCAUUGUCCCUCCCAGUGGGGCCUCCACGGGGAGCUCCAGCCCCAGCACCCCUCAGCCCCCCAUCGCUUCCCAGGUGCUCCCACAUUCACCAUCUGUGUCUGUGCCCUCCCCUCCGCCUCCCAUUUCAGCAGUUAGCUUGGUAGCUUCACCUACUGCUGAGUCAAAGCCAUCAGCCCAGUCUCCUGAACACCUUCAGUCGUCAGCUGCAUCUGGAAUGUCGGCCCCCCAGAAACGCAGCUUCAUUUCCCGCUGGUUUGGUUCAUCAGCUGCUACUGACUCUCCUAUUUCUGCAACAGAGGACCCUCCUGCACCAGUGUAUCCAGCUAAGGUUCAGAGUGUGGAUGAUUUUGUGCCAGAUGAGAGACUGGACAAGAAUUUCUUGGAAGACAGCCUGCCCUCGAAGACCAAGGUGCCUCCAGCUGCAGACAGCGACAGUGAUGGUGAAGCCAGAGGAAACCCCAUGGUGUCUGGUUUCCAGGAUGAGCUUGAUCCUGAUGACAAUGAGCCUGGCCUUCCUCAACCUAAGACUUUGCCCCACAAUAAAGAUAUCGCUCUGACCAGUGAUGAGGAGGAGGAAGUACCAGCAAUCCCCACUAUCGCACAGGACCAAGACUUCGACAGUGAACCGGAGCUUAAAGCACCUGUGAUCCACAUCACAAAACCAAAGGUGGCAUCUAAAGCUCCGGAGCCCAGAGGCCAGACCACAGUGCCCAUCUCCCUCACUUUAUCUCCAGCAGCAGAGCAGCUGACCAGACACCAAGGCAAGAAGAAGGGAAAUGCACCCACAGCCGAGGACUCUGAUACUGACCCCGAGGCCCCUGUAGCCCAGCAGAUGCUCUCUUUUGUCAUGGAUGACCCUGACUUUGAGUCUGAAGCAUCAGACACACCAAAAACGGCAAAGGAUAUAUUCCCAGUCAGGGACGAGCUUCUGUCUGACCUCUCUGACGAUGACGUGCAGUUAGCCAAGGUGCCAGAACCUCUGAAGCCCACUGUGAUCUCCUUCAAGCACAAGGAUGAUGCUGAUCUGUUUGGCCUUGGCAUCCAAGAAGAGGCACCCGCAACCAAGGACAGCAGCGAGGACCAGGAAGAGAAAGAAAUCAAACACUUCUCUAAAGAAAAGAAGAAAAAGAAGAAGAAAAGCAAAGAGGAGGAGGACAAGAGCAAGAAGAAACACAAACACAAGAAAAAGGAAAAAGACGAAGCUGCUGCAGAUGACAAAGAGAAAAAGAAAAAGAAAUCCCGGACCAAGAAGACAGAAGUGGAUGAGCUGGAGAACUUUCUGGGCGGAGGAGCAGGAUUGAUCAAAAGAGAUGAUUGUGAUUAUGAAGAACUAUAAAAGUUCCUGUUUUCUGAGAACAUGGAGUCAGUGAACAGCAGUGGGGCACGUGGUCACUCACCAGGUCCAACUUCCUGGUUUCUUGACUUGUAUGUGCAAAAAGCAGCAUCUCCAAGCCAUACACAAGGCUCCUCACAAUGCCCAGGUAAAAUAACAAGGACUCUGGUACCUGUCUGCUCCUUCUGAUUGAUUCUCCCCAUCUGCACUACUGCUGUCACUUCCAUUGCAGCCAGUACUGUAUUGAGCUGUGACACAUAAUUAGAUGAUAGGUUAAGCCACAAAUUGGCUCUUUGUACUUUUACAUGAUUGAGUAUAUGGGCUUAAUGUUUAGUUUGAUUUGAUACACUCUGCAGGUAAUCCACUCUGAAUCAGCUACUGUACAUAAGGUUUCUAUUUUGUCUGAAUGUGUGGUUAGUGUAAUAACUGAGAGCAUGCUCAAAGUGAUAACUGACUCUUUAGAGACACCAGUGUCCAUUGUCCCCUCUGUCUUUCCUUUAUGUUGGCUUAAAUGAUUAAGGGCAGAUCUUUGGGUUUUGUGUCUAAUUGUGAACCCUGAAGAGGAAUUCAGAGCAAGCUGAUUUAAGAAUUGCACCCAUUAGCAACAAAGGAAACUUCACUUAAACUUGUUUCAUUCUUAGGCUAUGUCCACACUAACCACUUUACAGUGUCUCUUUCCCCGUCUUUGUUGCUCUUUUGGCCACACUAAGCCUGCAUUGUUUUUAUGCACAAACUGAGCUUUUGGAAACAGUCUCCAAAGUGGAUACAUCUUAAAAUGGCUCAGUUUUAAGUGUAAUAGGUGGCAGCAAAGUUAAGAAGAUGAGUUUAAGUCAACUCUGCCAUCAUACUGACAGUUUAAAAAGUGAUCACAGAGGUGUCAUAAUGGCCUGUCACACAGUACAGGGGGUGUCAUUAGGCUGUAUUUUUGGUUAGACUUUGACCUACUUUUCACCACAGGAGCAACGGAAAUGCAUUGGGUGGCUUUUAUGAGCUGUGAACAAGCCACUGGUUCAUGAUCUUUGCUGGCUCAGACACCACUGACAGUAGCUGUUAUAGGAGCUGUAGAUAGCAAGUCUUCCCUUGGAACAAGUGAUUGAAAAGUGACUGACGCUCCCUGUAUUUUUGACAGGUCUAAUGUGGGCAGAAUGGAGGUUAUGAGAAUGCUUAUUAAUGCCAGGUGUCAAUCUAAAGGCCUGUGGGUCAGAUCAGAUGUCCAGGCGAUGAAUUCAGUUAGAGUAGCAGGUGUAAAUAUGGCUGAAGACAGUGUAAGUAAUGAUGGACAGCAGGAGAGGAAAGAACAGCUUUGUCAUUCUGAGUAACUGGGCUGUCUGUCUCACUCUUUACCAGAUUACAUUAUCAGUCAAGUUUAGACCAUGACAUCAGCCCUGUAACAGCACAACAGUGUGUUUUAUGGAAUAAAGAUCAGCAUCGGGUGUGACAGCUACUUGUUUUUGACAUAGUGGAGGAAAACCAAUGCAGCAUCAUGGACUUACAGGCAGAACUUUUCACCUCCUCUCAUAUAGAAAAUGAAGGUGUCGUAAAACACAUUUUAUGUUAUUGGAUUACAUUUCAAGUUAACUGAAACGUUUUAUUUAAUUUCAGUUAACAUACAAUCGAUCACACACAGCCUCUUUUUUUGCAGCCUGGGAAAGGAAAAGAUGGUGUACCUUCACUGUCUAGUCACUGAAUUGUUUGUGAUUCAUUUUCUGUUCCUAAAUGUGUGGUUACAUAUGUAAACAUUUCUUUCUGGUGCUUUCAGGUGGAACACUUGAUCUGUAACUAACACUGUAUGUCAUACUCUUAUGUCUUAUUGCACAGAAUUAGUCUCCUGAUUACCAGUUUGACAGUGAUCAACCUGAUUGAGAAACAGUUUGAGAACUCUGAUCCCACCAUGACAUGUUUUCUUGCAUAUCAGUGUGGAUGAGGACGUUUCCAGAAUUCCUAAUGUGGAUGCGUGUCAUUUUCACAGCAUGUUAACAACGACCUGGCUUAGUGUGGAUGUAGUCUUGGUAUGAAACUAACAAUGGUCCUUGGCCUUUGUCACCCCCUGAAGCUACUUUGGCAGUGAAUGGUGAUUUCAUGAUUUUAUCUUCCUGCCCUGUUAGCACAACAUAACAAUCCUUUUGCUUCCUUCCCCACCUAUCUCUGCCACACCUUAGAGGCUACUUACAAAUUCUGUUCAUGUUCUCUGCAGUUGCCUUAAUGAAGGUUACUAUGAGGCAGUCCUGUGCCGCGAUCCAUCCUGAACCAUUUUUAAGUGUUCUUAAUGUUCUCUGUAAGCCCAAUGGAGUUAAGAACGUUGUCCUAACAUUUUAUUGGUCAAACAGAAUCUCUGUCAUUCAUAAAGCCUUUUGUAAGAUUGCAUUGAAUCCAUACACUAGUUUGUCUCUUGUUUUUGUUUGAGUCUCACUGAACAGUAAAAACACCAUCCUUAAUGGAUUAUUAUGGAGCUGUGUUAUUUCUCUAUAGGUGUAACAUUUCCAGAAUGUUCUCAUUGUUUUAUCCUGUUAUUUAUUGCGUUGGUUUUGUUUUUGUUUGUGUGAUUUGUGUUUAAACCGUCUUCAGUGGUCAAACAUAUCAUCCAGCUUUUUAUGGUUAUAGUUACUUUCUCCUGGGAUACAUCCUCUAAUGUUUACUUCCACUGCUUUUAAGGAAAUUAACUUGUGCACUUUUUUGGGGGGUCAAAUGCCUCAAACUGCCUGCUCAUGGAAACAAUGUGCAGUAUCUUCCAUACAAAAUGUUUCAUAUAAGUUAUAUGUUCUUGCAUCUAAGAUGAUGAGAUCAGACAUAAUGAUGUGUAUUUUUAGAGUGGUUAAACAAGUGAUAUUUCAUACACUUUAAAUCUCCUUUACACUCUGUUGGUUUGCAAAGACUUUAUAUUUGAUUUUCCAAAGUUGAAACUAUGCAGCAUUGAUCCUGAAAACUGUAUGCUUUUUUCACCUUCUGUUAUGUGAUCAAGGAUAAAUGCUGAGAGCAGUUUCAAGCAAAGCACGAGACUUAAAUGUACAGC
RNA transcript from Monopterus albus (swamp eel), 5692 nucleotides. It is a transcript of the gene named RAB, member RAS oncogene family-like 6b, with no coding region annotated. The record is from RefSeq and is a predicted model, not a curated record. The transcript has 18 exons. NCBI's taxonomy places the organism in Eukaryota, Metazoa, Chordata, Actinopteri, Synbranchiformes, Synbranchidae.